ACAAUGAGGUAGGAGACAUUACAGACACUCAUAAGUCCUAUGAUUGUAUCCUUGAGGGAAGAAGUGAUAGCAAUCACAUGAGAGGCACUACAUUUUACAUCUUUCUUAAACUCAGCAAACCCUGAGGCAGGCGGAGUUAAACGCAGGUAGUUUCAGCAUUCUUGAUCUAACUUUCAACUGAAAUAACUCUGAAAAGAGGAGCAUGUUGUUCAGAGGGAAUGCUAUAUGCUUAAGGAAGCCCUCGCAAUCACUGUAACAUCAAAAAAGGUUUGUAUCCCCAGAAGCAUACCCUUUACACACCCACACUGAGUUAGGCAUGCCUACCUUGGAAAACUCAGGCUAUUCUUGACAACAAAGAUGAAUUGGACUGAUGUUAACCUCAGCAUCCCACUUUUUACAUUUUGCUUAUGGCACAAGGUCAGAUCACUUGCUUCCCUUGCUUUUGCAAAGUGACAAAGGCUGACUGCUGGGAGAAUCUAUUCUGCCCGACCAGUCACUGUAACUCACUAAUAGAUUAUAGAAAGCACUGCAAAAAAACCAAGAGUAUAUCAGAGAAAUCUGAGUAGGGUUUGUGUUAAGGGUAUGAAAAUCUGCAAUAAGAACAUCAUUUCCUUUUUAAUUGUGGUGGGAGAACUUAACAAAUCACCAUGGGUGGUGCUUCUUUAAAGGACAAAUGCAGAAAUGACUUGUAGGAGUUCUUGGGAAAAGUUCUGGAUAUUUUUUCUUGAUGGGGGGGAUUUUUUUUUAUUCUCUGGUUUUAAAAGGAAGAUCUUGUGGGCAAGAUGACAGUUGAAGAAUCAUGUAGAGCAACAUUACAUGCUGCUUCUUGGAGAGAUUGUAUACGUGUUAAUCGGCAUGAGUGUUUGGUUGCCAGCUAUAGUGUUAUGAAUGGGAUUCAGUCACCUGCAUAGAGAUACCAAGGAGCCAUUUCAGCAGUCUAAUGUAUUCCAUCAGGCUUUUUGCUACAUUUACAGAAGUUCUUAGCUUUUCCAGAAGUCCCAUACCAUAGUUACCACCCUCUGUGUGUCUCAGAUUCAGAAGGAAAAUUAUGA
Passer domesticus (house sparrow) is the source of this 1052-nucleotide long non-coding RNA. RefSeq lists it as uncharacterized. The transcript is spliced from 3 exons. Lineage: Eukaryota; Metazoa; Chordata; Aves; Passeriformes; Passeridae. The record is from RefSeq and is a predicted model, not a curated record.